This 450-nucleotide ribosomal RNA is filed under the name uncultured bacterium. RNAcentral's name for it is "partial 16S ribosomal RNA". It matches the Rfam family "Bacterial small subunit ribosomal RNA", at positions 354 to 796 of the family's 1533-position model. The record is from RNAcentral.
GUGGGGAAUAUUGGACAAUGGGCGAAAGCCUGAUCCAGCCAUGCCGCGUGUGUGAAGAAGGUCUUCGGAUUGUAAAGCACUUUAAGUUGGGAGGAAGGGUAGUAACCUAAUACGUUGCUACUUUGACGUUACCGACAGAAUAAGCACCGGCUAACUUCGUGCCAGCAGCCGCGGUAAUACGAAGGGUGCAAGCGUUAAUCGGAAUUACUGGGCGUAAAGCGCGCGUAGGUGGUUCAGUAAGUUGGAAGUGAAAUCCCCGGGCUCAACCUGGGAACUGCCUCCAAAACUGCAUGACUAGAGUACGGUAGAGGGUAGUGGAAUUUCCUGUGUAGCGGUGAAAUGCGUAGAUAUAGGAAGGAACACCAGUGGCGAAGGCGACUACCUGGACUGAUACUGACACUGAGGUGCGAAAGCGUGGGGAGCAAACAGGAUUAGAUACCCUUGUAGUCC